Molecule: ribosomal RNA, 253 nt
Filed under: uncultured prokaryote
Description: partial 16S ribosomal RNA
Rfam family: Bacterial small subunit ribosomal RNA
Source: RNAcentral
UACGAAGGGGGCUAGCGUUGCUCGGAAUUACUGGGCGUAAAGGGCGCGUAGGCGGGUACUUAAGUCAGAGGUCAAAUCCCAGGGCUCAACCCUGGAACUGCCUUUGAUACUGGGUACCUAGAGUUCGGGAGAGGUGUGUGGAACUCCGAGUGUAGAGGUGAAAUGCGUAGAUAUCGAUCGGAACACCCAUGGCGAAGGCAGCUCGCUGGCCUGCAACUGACGCUGAGGCGCGAAAGCCGGGGGAGCAAACAGG